This is a long non-coding RNA of Mustela lutreola (European mink), 4514 nucleotides long. RefSeq lists it as uncharacterized. Lineage: Eukaryota; Metazoa; Chordata; Mammalia; Carnivora; Mustelidae. The record is from RefSeq and is a predicted model, not a curated record. The transcript has 4 exons.
CAGGCUGGCUGCCGGACGCCCUUCCUGCUCCAGACCCUCGGAAUGCACCACCUUCCCUGUCUUCAGAGCAGCUCCUUGAGGUCAACUCAUCCUCAUUCCCACGUUCGGGAAACAGAGGGAAGGAAACUGAGGCUCGGGAAGCCAGAUAAAUGACAAUCGUCACUUAGUGGCGUGGCGUGGGCUCAGGCCUGUUCGACCCACAACUUGGCAUAACCCGGAUCUGCCCUGCGGUGUGAAGAGACGGCUCUGGGGUCGGGCCUGUCAGGGUCCAAUCCUGACUCGCUCAUGGCUGUCACAUCAAGAUGUCACUGGUCUGUGCCUCUGUUUCCUCACCUGGAAGAUGAGGCAAUGACACGACCUCCUUACAGCUCUGCAAAGACACCGCACUAGCUAACCACCUUAGGCCGGAGACACCUGCUUUUCCUAAGUGUGAGACCACCUGGUCCCUGCGCUCGAGAAGCUUAGCAUCCAGGAGAGGGAAUGGCGCCAACCCACAGAGAGCCUCGUGAGUGGACUGGCCCACGGGAGGGGCUCGGUGAACGUGACCAAAGAGGACUGCACAAGGCACAGAGGUCUCAUUCGAGCUUUGCAGGCUCGGGGUUGGUGGCAAGUCCAGGGGACUGAGGCUCAGAGAAAACCAGCGACCUGUCCAAGGUGACACCACGUCCGGAUGCAGUCACAUCUGCCUUGUCUGCUCUUCCAACACUCACUCACUUGUCGGGCUCUGGUUGCCUGAAGACCUCCAGCCAUGCUGUUCCCUCUGCCUCGAGGGCUUGUCCCUUUUUUCCCACCUCCUUAUCCCUCAGACUGCGGCUGGAAUGUCACUUCCCUGGUCUGUCCCUCCCUCAUACCCAGAACACCUACUGUAGGACCGGUGCUGUUCCUGCCGCUGAUGACACAGCAGCGAACGGCACUGACAGACUCCUCUGUCCUUGAGGGGCUGGUGUCCAGGGUAGACCAGAAAACCCUGAGCGUCUUUAGCCAAGGGAACCGUCCCCCUGCAGAGCUACUGCCCCACGCUUGGGGGACACAAAUCGGCAAGAUAAACUUAGUGUAUCAUCCCAAUACAUCACUUUCUUAAAUUGGCCUGGGGCGGGGAAUCAUGGGGGCUUGUGGGAAGAAGCAUUAUCUUUUAUUUAAGCAGCACGGAUCCCUUAUGGGCUAGCCUCUCAGACGUCUGUCAAAUUUUUAAUUUGGGGAGACCCCUGAGGCUUCACCGUCAGCUCGCCCAGGCUAGGGGUGCUCUUCGUGGCUCUUUGGGGGAGAAGGUUGGAGACCUCACAUGCAAGGGAUGCAGCUGUCCUAGCCUGAGAAAGCCAGGCAUCUAGAGGCCUCUGGAUCCCUCUGGCUGAGCCCAGAGCUUCGAGGUCAGGAGGAUGUUGAGCGCCGGGGCUCAAGCUGGGGUUCUGCUCCUGCCUGCCGUUCAAGCCCUCACCCCUCUGGGUCUUCUCAGUCUUGUGGAUAAAGCGAUGCACUUGAACUAAAACUUCUUUGGGAGUCCAGCAGGCCCGAAAAACCUGUCUGACUCUAAGGCCAGAAUUGGUCGACCCGCUCAUGGGUCCCAUGCCACCUCCCAGACCCCUCCCCACGGUCUUCUCUCCCCCGCCCCACGCCCUGCUUCCCCAUCCUCACCCCCGACCUGGUGGUACCUCCUGCCGGAGGCCGACUGAAGGCAAAGACCACCCCAGGCUCAGAGAGGAGAAAGAGAAGAGGCAGGAGGAAGGUCACAUUUCUGACUUGGCCCACUGCCUGGUUUUCAUUAGGCCCACUGCCUAAUUUUCCUGGGCGGCACUUGCUUUCUUGGCUAGUCUCCCCUCUUUCUUAACCGUUUCAGAGGAAAGAGCUGUCACACCCCUGGCCCCCUUGCUGCCGCUGGUAUUGUGGCCUGAAGUGUUUUCCUGCUGUGUCACCUCUGUGUCUCUUGCUGCCACGUCAGCCACAUCUCCUGUCCCUGGAGUCCCCAGGCACAGAACAGCAGCUCAGAUGUACCCAGACUUGAAGAAUAACACUAAUUAUGGGCAUUAGCAUUUAUUGAGCACCUACUAUGGGGCCAGGCUCUGUGAACUCGGUGACUUCCUCCAACGACCUCAUGAAGUAAGGCCAUUUGAGCAAUGGGAAAACUGAGGCUCACAGUUGUUAUGCAAUGGAGGUGGGACCCUACAUCAGUGCCACCACCCACCAUGCCCUAGGGACUCCAAGAGCCUUCGAAUAUCCCUCUUCUGGUUAAGUGCACCUUUCCUCUACCCCUACACCCUUGUCUUCUGGAUCUCUCCCUGUCUGCUCCAGAAUGGGGAUUAAGGGUAAAGGCCAAAAGCCCAGACACAACGCCUUUGAGGUACACACGACCUGUUUGAAAGGUGAAGGAGAUGAGGUUGCUCAGGGAGGACUUUGGGGCCCCCCAAACCAGUUUCUGGGGCCAGGGAGGGGCUGGACCUCUUUCUGGGAGCAAGAUCAGCGGCAGGUGGCCCCAAGGGGAAAUCGAGUCACUGGGAAAGGAGGAGGAGCUUCACGGGGCCAAGCAGGGUGGGGAGGUCACGCUGGAAGCACGUCAUUCCCAUCAGAGGACUCCGUGGGUGUGGAGCGGGGAAGAGGGGCUUUGAACUCUGGCUGAUGUCCUAGCCAGGUGGGGGGACUGUGGCCCCUCCAUCAGAAGGGGGCGCGGGAACAGGCUGCUCCCACCAGCCGCAGUACUAGCCCCUUCCCCCCAGGAAGGGCUGCCCAGCUUUCCUGGGACCCGGCGCUCGGCAGGUACCAGUGGGGCUGCCCAGCUCCUCCGGCCAGGGCUGCGAUAAAAAUCCUGCAGUGAUCUGCGUCAGAGAGAGAGAGAGAGAGAAGGGGAAAAACACCCUCCAGUGCCUGACAUUCUUUUUAGGAUGCCCAUAAAAAAUAAUGUGACCUGUAAAACCGGCAAGCUGCUUCCCAGCCCGUGACACGGGGGCCCCCACGUCCCCACUCCCACCCCCCAGGUCCACUCUCUCUCCCUCGGGCCGAGGGCAUUACCCUGGGAAUCCCUGAGGGUUCAGGCCUUCAGAGCGCUGGGGACCCUCAGGCCGGGGGAGAGAGCAACCCCAAACCACUGUGGUCUGCCCACGUGGGGCCCCUUCCUCCACUUCCUCCUCUGCACCCCCGCCCCUUCCCGGGGCCCUCGGGUCAGCAGAGCUGCUGCUGCCAGGCCAGGGGGCGGGAAUGUGCUGGGACAGGUGUGUUCUGCUUUUGCUCUCUCGCUCUCCCAGGUGAGUCACCCCGUGGGAGUGUGUUGAUGAAUCCGAACCCGGGCUCUUUGUUUGGAGCUCCUGGGAAUUCGCGCACGGGGGCCAGACACCCGGGCCGUCUGCGGCCAGAUGGCACCGAGAGCUGGGAGUCGGGAGCUGGAGGUGCUGGUCCCAGUCUUGCCACCAGCCGGCUGCUCGAAAACGUGUCCGUUCGGAGACGAUUCGGGUCUGAGUUUCUCUACCUUGAAAAUGGGCAUAACAAUCGGGUCCUUUGUAGUUUUGCUAGAAGGCAAUAAAGCAGGUAUGUUCUAGCGAGGGUAGUUUCUGGGUUGGUGACGCUAACUGCCAUUUCCUGAGUGUCUACUAUGGCCCAGGCACUGAACCGGGGUGGUUUACAGUCCACUCUCCCGGCAGCCCGAGGGGGUCUGUGAGAUUACCAUCCCCUCUGCUAAAGGAGGGGAGCGAGGCUCAGAGAGGUUAAGUAACUCCCCUCAGGCCACAAGGCAUACACCCAACGGCCACCCACAGUAGGAAUUAAGGACAUCCCUGCAAAUACCAGGCACAGUGAUCACCGCCGAGCCCCUUCCCUGCCCUGUAGGUGAGGCCAGUCCAGAAUGAAACCAGGUGUUCCCCUCCCCGGUUUCCCCUAGGCAUGGCCUGCCCCUGCCAGCGGCCUAAUGGAAGUCACAGCUUCCUCCCAGUGCCCUGCCUCCCCAGCCCUGCCCCAACUCCCAGAGGCCUUAGCUUCUCCCAGCUCCCUCCCGUGGGCGGGCAGGGCUUAACGCGGUGUCCCAAAACCCAGAGAUACAUGCGUCAUGACUAGGGAGCCUUCCAGAUCUGCCUCCGGAAGGGCCCACCGGCCAGAUUUCCCAAUUUCCUGAACUCCACAUCUUCACCCUAGCCAGGGGAGUGAGAGCCUCCUUGGGUCCCCAAGGCUGUGGGAGGACAGACCCUGGGAACACCCUUCCUUGGUGGGGGCUGGAAAUCUGAGUUGCGUUCAUACUCUCCCUCGGGCACAUUUCCUGGGUUUCAUCCGUCAUUUCUGAAGCCUUCAGCUGCGCAGUGAGGCAAGGCUUUAAAUGCUCCCUCCCUGGGGCGCUGGGGGAGGCAGGGUAGCUCAGGCGGUUAAGCGUUGACUCUUUGAUUCUUGGUUCACAUCAUGAUCUCAUGGUCAUGAUCUCUGGGUCUCGAGAUCAAGCCCUAACUCUAGCUCUGUGCUCAGCAGGGAGUCUGCUUGGGAUUCUCUCUCUCCCUCUCUCUCUUUGCCCCUCCCACCUCCCUGCCCCUUGCACCUGAGCACAU